AUGGAGCCCCGAGAGGGGACACGAGGAUGUCCCCAACAGCCGCCCCAACUCCCAGGUGGGUGCCCGACAGACCCCAUGGACCCCACGGCCCCAAGUGUCCCCAAGUGUCCCCCACGGCCCCAAGUGUCCCCAGGGGUCCCCAAAUGUUCACCGCGGCCCCAUGUCCCCAAGGGUCCCCACAUCCCCAAGGGUCCCCACAUCCCCAAAGGUCCCCAUGUCCCCAAAGGUCCCCACGUCCCCAAGGGUCCCCAUGCCCCCAAGGGUCCCCACGCCCCCAAGGGUCCCCAUGCCCCCAAGGGUCCCCACGUCCCCAAAGGUCCCCACGCCCCCAGCUGUCCCCACACCCCCAGGAGCCUCGUAUCCCUGAGAGUCCCCCAUGGUCCCCACGUCCCCGAGCAUCUCCACGUCUCCUGCAUGUCCCCAUGUCCCCAAGAAUCCCUGUGUCCCCGUGACCCCAAGGGUCUCCACGUCCCCAUUGGUCCAUGUGUCCCCACAUCCCCAAGUGUCCCCAAAGACUCCCCACGUCCUCCAAAGGAUGGAUGUUCCAACACAUGGAGCCGCCAUGCCCCAAAUGUCCACCACGGCUCCAUGUCCCCAAAGGGUCCCCAGAGGUCCCCAAAGGGUCCCCUGCUCCCCCCAUUUACCCAAGACUCCCCACAUCCUCCGGAGUCCCCAAAGGGUCCCCAGAGGUCCCCGUGUCCCCAUAUCCCCAAGUGUCCCCAAAGACUCCCCACGUCCUCCAAAGGAUGGAUGUUCCAAUGCAUGGAGCCGCCAUGCCCCAAAUGUCCACCAUGGCCCCAUGUCCCCAAAGUGUCCCCAGAGGUCCCCGUGUCCCCACAUCCCCAAGCGUCCCCAAAGACUCCCCACAUCCUCGAAAGUCCCCAAAGUGUCCCACGCGCCCCCCAUUUACCCAAGACUCCCCACAUCCUCCGGAGUCCCCACAGUGUCCCCAGAGGUCCCCAAAGGGUCCCCUGCUCCCCCCAUUUACCCAAGACUCCCCACAUCCUCUGGAGUCCCCAAAGGGUCUCCAGAGGUCCCCGUGUCCCCACAUCCCCAAGCGUCCCCAAAGACUUC
Molecule: long non-coding RNA, 1074 nt
Filed under: Phasianus colchicus (ring-necked pheasant)
Lineage: Eukaryota; Metazoa; Chordata; Aves; Galliformes; Phasianidae
Description: lncRNA (ENSPCLG00000017310.1)
Source: RNAcentral